AGUGAACGCUGGCGGCGUGCUUAACACAUGCAAGUCGAACGAGAACGGAUUAUAGCUUGCUAUAAUUGUCAGCUAAGUGGCGCACGGGUGAGUAAUGUAUAGGUAAUAUGCCUCUUACUAAGGGAUAACAAAUGGAAACGUUUGCUAAUACCUUAUACUCCUUAUUAACAUAAGUUAAUAAGGGAAAGAUUUAUUGGUAAGAGAUUAGCCUGUAUUGUAUCAGUUAGUUGGUGGGGUAAUGGCUUACCAAGACUAUGAAACAUAACUGGUUUGAGAGUAUGAUCAGUCACUCUGGAAAUUAGACACGGUCCAGAUUGCUACAGGAGUCAACAGUGGGGAAUAUUGCACAAUGGAAGAAAGUCUGAUGCAGCAUCGCCGCGUGGAGGAUGACACAUUUCGGUGAGUAAACUCCUUUUAUAUGAGAAGAUAAUGACGGUAUUAUAUGAAUAAGCACCGGCUAACUCCGUGCCAGCCGCCGCUGUAA
This 484-nucleotide ribosomal RNA is filed under the name uncultured bacterium. RNAcentral describes it as "partial 16S ribosomal RNA". It matches the Rfam family "Bacterial small subunit ribosomal RNA", at positions 29 to 523 of the family's 1533-position model. The record is from RNAcentral.